GGCAUAUGGAGGUUCCCAGGCUAGGGGUCUAAUCAGAGCUGUAGCCACCGGCCUCCGCCAGAGCCACAGCAACCAAUGCAGGAUCCAAGCCGUGUCUGCAACUUACACCACAGCUCGCGGCAACGCCGGAUCUCCAACCCAUGGAGCAAGGGCAGGGAUUGAAUCCACAACCUCAUGGUUCCUAGUCAGAUUCAUUAACCACUGUGCCACGACGGUAACUCCUUGGCAGGAUACUUUUAUAUUAUCAAUUUCACUUAUCAACUUGAAUCCCUCCUAGCUAUAUGGAAAUAACUAGGAAGGGAAAGUCUGGGAAACUUUGGAGAAGUUACUUACUUUCUCUGAUUCUCAUUUUUAUCAUCCAUAAAUUGAAAACAACAAUAGUUCAGAUCUUAAAAUGUUACUUUGUGAAUUCAAUAAUACAUGUAAAGCACUUAGAGCAGUGUCUAGCACAUAAUUAAUACAUAAACAUGUAUUUCUAAUCCAAUCUCAAACUCGAUGCAUGUACCUCAUGAAUAAUAUAUGUCAUAAGCACAAAUAUAAAGAAGUAAAAACUCAUGAUAAUUAAAAUCAGUGAAAUUAUGACCAAUGAAGCACAAAUGGGUAACAUGGGAGAAAAAAAAUUACAAUCAGUAGAAUAUAAAUCAAUGUACACCUCACAUCAGCAAAAGGAGGCAGACUUCUGUUUUUUCUGCUGUAAGAAAAUGAAACUCUAAUACUGUGAAUGUGGAAAGGAGCUCUCAAACCAUUAAGGCCAAGUUUUAGGCCACAACACGUUGAGAAUCAGGAAAAUCCAAAAAUGUGAAAAUCCAACUCUAACUGCUCCCCCAGCUAAGGAGGAUUGAGGAAUCCUUUUUAAAAGACCAAAGACCAAAUUUUUUAUAAGAUUUACAAAAUAGCUAACAUUGCACUCAUUUCUAACAUUCUGAGUUAAAGACCUUAAGCGACUGUAGACUGAAUCCAGUUUACUAAAACAAUGCUUAGGAAGGGAGUAAUAGGCACCUUGGUUUCUGAACAUGUGCAGUAUCUCACUGGCUGUACAACAAUGCUACCAUCCCAUCGACAGAUCUGCUUACACUGAAAGGCCCCUUUAUUUAUUUAUUAAUUACUUAUUUGUUUAUGAUGUUUAGGGCUGCACCCACGGCAUAUGGAAGUUCCCAGGCUAGGGGUCGAAUCAGAGCUACAGCUGCUGGCCUACACCACAGUCACAGCAACGCCAUAUCCAAGCCGCAUCUGCGCCUGCACCGCAGCUCAUGGCAACACCAGAUCCGUUAAUCCACUGAGCGGGGCCAGGAAUCAAACCUGCAUCCUCAUGGAUACUAGUCAGGUUUGUUACCACUGAGUCACAAAAGGGACCAUUUAAGCAGGAUCCUGCUGUGUAGCAUUGGAACUAUGUCUAGAUACUUACAUUGCAACACAACAAUGGGAGGAAAAAGUAUGUAUGCAUGUAUGUGUAACUUGGACCCCAUGCUGUACAGCCGGGGGCGGGGGGGUGGAGAAUAAACCUUAAAUAGCAUCUGGAUCCAACCCUUCAUUGAAAGAUGAAGAAAAUACCAUGUGAUGGUGGUCACUGCACAGAGAUGAAUACAACGAAAACUUCAUUAAUUUCAUGACCACAUCAAUUUAGAAUUUGUAAUAGGUUUAAAAAUGAGCCUAUUACAUUUUCCGUAUUCAAAUUUUAUUUAUUUAUUUAUUUUUUUGCCUUUUUGUCUUUUUUUUUUAGGGCCACACCCAUGGCACAUGGAGGUUCCCAGGCUAGGGGUCCAAUCAGAGCUGUAGCCACCAGCCUAGGCCAGAGCCACAGCAACGAGGGAUCCAAGCCGUGUUUGUGACCCACACAGCAAUGCCGGAUCCUUAACCCACUGAGCGAGGCCAGGGAUUGAACCCGCAUCCUCAUGGUUGCUAGUCAUGUUUGCUAACCACUGAGCCAUGACGGGAACUCCUAUAUUCAGAUUUUAAAUGUGUCACAAUUCAUGAAUUUAAUAUUUUGGAUGCUACUGUAUAUAACUCAGACCUUUAUAAAUAAUAGCGAGUUUUUCACUCAUCUCCUUUCUCUAAUUAUUACUCGUGUGUGUUACAAAAGGAAUAUUGUAUCAGUCUGUGCCUCUUUCACAGUGUGUCCAUUUAUCUAUCUUGGAUUACACUACUUGUUCACAUAUAUUAGAAUAAUUUAAAGAAGCUUAGCUAUGACUAAAUCCAUAUAACUAAAUCUAUAAUAUACUUUUUUGUUUUUUUAUAUAAUGAUUAUUCGUUUUAAUUAUAGCUGGUUUACUGUAAUAAAUACAUUUUAAGGGUCAAUUACUUUGUCAUUCUGCAAAGAACAAAGGUGCCCACAUGAGGAUGUCUACUUAAUAAAAAAAAUUGGAUACGAUGACUACAAAAAAAUUACAGAAUACUAAAUAUGUCCACACAUUACCUCAAAGCCCCUUUCAAAUGUAUGUAUGAACAAAAAAAAAGAAAACAUCUUACUUCUUUUGAGGCUGCACAUAAAAACCACCAAUGAUAAUAUACCCAGAGCCUGUAACAGCCAGCCAGCAUGUACCAAAUCUCAUGAUAAAGAGGCUCUACAGAGAUAGCAAUGAAGAAAACCUGGUGGCAGUGAUAGUUUGUUGUCGAUGACUUGGAUAAUUCAUGCUUAUAGCACCAGAUGAUUUUCACCAGAGUGAAACUAAGAGAAACAAUGAUGAAUUAGAUGACAGAAUCUCAAAAGGUUAGAAUAAUGGGCCAAGUGUACUAAGCAUGCCAAGAUGAACUUCAACGGAGGCUGCACAUACAUAUGAUUUAAAACUACCACAUCCAAACAAGACUUUAGAAUUGGUUAACUGUCACUGUCAUCAAGAGAAGAAAAUAGGCAUGGCUGGCAGGAAUGUUGAUGUGCUCUUCAAUUAUGCCAGCUACCUGACAGUAUCUAGAAUAAGAGCAGGCAUAGUCCUAAUUAUCAGUCCAACGUAACACUUAGCUUUCUGAGCUAUGUUUCAGAUAGGCAGUUAAGAUAAGGUGAUUUUCUAAAACUUUAGUAAUUUUUACAUUGGGAUAUAGUUGACAUAUAUUACAAAGUAUAAGCCUAAGGUGUAUAACAUCUUGGUUUGACGCAUUUAUAUAUAAUGACACGAUUACUACCGCAGUGUUAGCUAACAUCUUUGUCAAGUGACGUAUUUAUUAUUUCCUUUUUGUGUUAGAACAGUUAAGAUGUAGUCUCUUAGCAAUUAUGAAGUUUAUAACACAGUAUUA
RNAcentral lists this long non-coding RNA (3228 nucleotides) under Sus scrofa (pig). RNAcentral describes it as "lncRNA (ENSSSCG00005006779.1)". Lineage: Eukaryota; Metazoa; Chordata; Mammalia; Artiodactyla; Suidae. The record is from RNAcentral.